Molecule: long non-coding RNA, 1275 nt
Filed under: Phascolarctos cinereus (koala)
Lineage: Eukaryota; Metazoa; Chordata; Mammalia; Diprotodontia; Phascolarctidae
Description: lncRNA (ENSPCIG00000014387.2)
Source: RNAcentral
UGAAGAAGGCAGUUGGCUACUACUGUGGAAGUAUUUUAGUAACUGUGGAGCGUGGGAAAAUAUCCCUUUGUUGGCAGAGCAAUGAACUUGUCAUGUAAACUAACUGAUAUAUCCAAGGAAAGGGACAGUAUUUCCGGCUGUUUGUUCCUUUCUAUUGAUGGGUGUAGGAGCAACAGGAAUGGAAAUAACCCAAGGUAAUCCUUAGACUUCCUUCACAUGGAGAGUGUGAAGAAUUUACAAUUGGGUCUUUGCAAAGCAGGCCUGUGACACUUACUACCCAGGGUGUCAGUAAAGGCGAGUUACCCUUCCUGGAAGAACUUUGAAUGAGAUGCAAAGAGACCCUGGGAACUUGACCAGUCAAACUUAGAAGUAUGAAGAGAAUGUAGUGGGAGGAAGUGGAGGCCGUGAGUCAGCAUGAGUCAUUCUGUUCCAAUGAGAAUGAAGGCUGACUGAGAGGUGUGUGUAUCUUUUUUUGGUUUGGGUUUUGGGUUUUUUUUUCUCUUCGUCUUAAUCUUUGGAACAUCAUUGGUGAAUGGAGGAAAAAAGUAAGUGAUUUUGCUUAUAUGCUUGGUGCUUUUCAGGUAUUAAGUUCUCACUUCAAUGAUACUUUGCAUGAAUACAUAAAUGUGACUUUUAUCCCCCUAGGCAUCCUGUUCUCAAGGAGGUGGAGCAACCGACUUCUCCUUGAAUAACUGGGAGAUGACACAGGAAGCUACAUGUCACAGUUGAUCGAAAAUGACAUAGACACUGAAAAUCAGGACUUUCAGCCCAACUCUGAGCUCCCUCUUGAAUGCUGAUCAGGAGAAAUGCAAAUGGAAAAAAAAAAAAGAAAAAUGCAAAAAAGUUUGUCUCUGGGAUUGGGGCUAAUGAACUUAUGCUGUGAAGUAUAGGUUUUGAAUUGUUUCAGAGUUACUUAUGAUAUUAGCAUGAUAUCUUAGGCAGAGACUCUUCUGGUUGGAUUCAUUCAUCUGCCCAAAGCUAUUUAUCUUUGUCUUAAUUCUCUCUUCCAUGAUCAAAAGCAAAACUAAAGAAAAUGUCAGUCAUUUGUUUAUUCACUAUUUUUAGCACCAAGUUAACUGGAAAGACGGUGUAUUUCUUUCAAACCUCGUAAACCAUGUGGUAACCUCACAGAAGAUUAACCAGGACGACUAAAUUCUCUCAUUCUGCAGCUUUUGUUCUGGUUAUUUUUUUCUCAUAUACUUCACUAGAAAACAAGUAUUUAUAUCAUUGUACUCUGUCAUUUAAAAAAGGCAAUAAAAGGCCCUUUCUGACCCA